This 42427-nucleotide long non-coding RNA is filed under the name Gossypium raimondii (Peruvian cotton). RNAcentral's name for it is "long non-coding RNA (GRAI_LNC004213)". The record is from RNAcentral. Lineage: Eukaryota; Viridiplantae; Streptophyta; Magnoliopsida; Malvales; Malvaceae.
GCCCAAAGAAACCCAAAAGGUAAAUAAACGAUGCGAAAAACGCGAGAAUCGCGAUGAUCUCAGAAAAGGUGACGACAUGGAGAGGCGUGGAGGUACGGAUCUUCUCACGCCAACGGGAAAGAAGGAAAUAAACCACCGAGAAGAAGAGGGUAAAGAACACCGCAUUCGUCAGAUGAAAAGGAAGCGGCAAUGCGUCGGAGGCUUUAGUGGGAUCUUCCUCUAAAGGAAUCUUCUUCGUGGGCUUGAGAGAUUGAACUCGUUUAGUCGAAUACAGCCGGGGAGCCUCCAUUUUGGGUGUCGACGGCGGCGGAAACCCGGCGGUGGAGGAGGAGAAUAGAAGAGGAAUGAAAGUAAGAGAUGAUUUCAGUUAGUUUUACGAUUAUGGUGAAGGUGGAGCUUGAGAUGCUAGAGUUUAGGGAGGGAAGGGGAGUAUUUAUAGGAUAAAGAGUAAAGAGAGCGUGAGGAAAAAGGCGCGUGAAGUGAAGAUGGGGCAGUGUUUGGCACUUGUUAGUGUGGAGCUUUACCAAGAGAAGAGUCAAAGAAAGAAUUAUAGGGAUAGUGUUUGGAAGCGUGCAGUGCAUGGGAGCAACGUCGUCAGCACAUCCUGGCUGCUUCAUUUUCAUUUAGGGUAAACUACACAAUCAGUCACUAAAGUAUGGGUACGUUUUUGUUUUGAUCACUGAACUAAAAAAGUUACAAUUUUGUUACUGAACUAUUCAAAAGUUUCCAUUUAAGUCACUGAGCUGUUAAAAUCGAUGCUACACAGCUUUUUCUCUUCACACUGCCUACAUGAAUCGGAAGUUCUCUUUCCCUUUCUUUUUUACGAUUCAAUUUUUUUCUACAACUUUUUUCUUCGUUAGAAAAUGACCUUCAGAUCGACUUGAAUCUAAGAUAUGUUCUUUUACUUGCUAAUGGGUAUUGAUCCACUGUACCAGUCGUUGAGUCGUCACUUGGAGCUCGUUGACAGAAUUUUUAAAAAAAAAUAGUUAACAACCUAGUGACUUAAACAAUUUUUUUUGAAUAGUUCAAUGACUUAAAUGAAAAAUUUCAAAUAUUUUAGUGACCAAAUUGUAACUUUUUAGUUAAGUGACCAAAACGAAAACUUAUCCAUAAUUUAGUGACUAAUAAUAUAAUUUUCCAUUCAUUAUAUUUGGUCUUUCUCCCUAUUUUGAUAUUUUCUGUCACGUGUUUUUCAUUAUUGUAUGGGUUUAAUUAUUCCUUAUUUUGGGUUGUUUUUCAUAAUAAAUUAUCCAAAUAAAUAUUAACGCUGUUGUUAAGUUAUAUACAUUUUUGGGCAAAUGUCUAUUAAAAGAAAUAGAAAUGAAAGAAAGUCGUAUUUAUUAUUAGCAUAAUUUUUUUACCUUCCAAAUUUAUAAAAAAAUUAUUUAUUUUAUCUCUUUUAGUCUUUCAAUUUAUUUUUUUAUCAAAUUAUUUCAAAAUGAAUUAAAAAGUUAAAAUUCUUUAACUUUGUUGAUGUUACAUACACGUGGAUUACCAUCUAGAUAACACAUAAAUAUUUAAAAUCUUAAAAACAUUAACAAAUAUAUAUUUUUAUAAUUUUAUACUUUUAUAAUACUUUUAUUGGUUUUUAAAUUUUAAAAAUAGUUUUUAAAAAUAUAUUUUUAAAAUUUUAAAUUUAAAAAAAUUAAUUAAAUACCGGCGUGUUAUCCACGUGACAAUGCACGUGUAUUCAAGUAAGCAAAGUUAAACAACAUCAACUUUUUCAUUCAUUUUGAGGUAAUUUGAUAAAAAAAUUAGUUUAAGAGCUAAAAAAGGACAAAAUUAAAUAGAAAACUAAAAUGACAUUUUUUUGUAAAGUUAAAGAAUCAAAUAAAUUAUUAUGCCUUUAUUAUUUAAUAAAAUUUAUGCAAAGUAGGACUUUGACUUGAAUUCAUAAUUAAUUUUGAUUUUUUCCUUUUGCUCGUAAUUAAUUGGAUAAGUUUAUAAUUUAAAUUAAUAUGUAAAAAAAUUAAAAUAUAGAGCUUUCACAGCUCAUUUUUCCUUUUUAGAUUAUUAUUUUUUUGCAUGUUUAUUAAAUUAAAGUUCAAAUUUGACAUUUUUAAUAUUUUAAUAUAAUCAAAUUAGACCUAUUUUAUAUUAAAUAAAAUCUAACCCAUUCUUUAAUCCUUAAUUUUCACGUUUCUGUAUUUUUUUCCCAUCAAUUCAAGCAGCCUCUUGCUCUGUAGUCAUAUGUAUGUAUAUAUGACAAUAAUUAUUAUUCGGUUUACGUGGACUUUUAUACAAUAAUGAAGAUUUUUUUUAGGGUAAAUUAUUAAAACAUCAUUUCAAAAAUCAAGUGUAAUAAACAAAAUCCUUAAUCCAAUAAUAAUAAUAAUAAUAAAUUGGAUCUUUGAAUUAUCGUUUCUAUCACGACUCUUGAUAAUUAAUUACUGACAUGAUAAGUGAUGUGGUGGGUGACAUGAAACUUUUGAUGAUAUGGUGGUUGAUAUGGAGGACUUAAUUGAUUUUUGUUAUUAUUUUAGGAGGCUUAAUUGAUGUUUAAGGAUUAUAUAACAAUUCUUAAGAAAUUAUUGAAAAUUAUUAAAAAAACAAAAAUGGAAAGAAAAUAUUAAAAUUAUUAUAAAAUUUUAGCUAAAAGUUAUUAAAAUAUUUAAAAAAUGUUGAAAAUUAUACAACUAUAGAAUUUAUUAAAUAUCAUAAAAUUUUAAAACUAUUAUUAAUAUGUUAUGAAAAUAAUGGAAAUAUUAAAUUAAUAUUAUAAAAAAUUUAGAAAUGAUAGGAAAUGAUAUAAAAACAAUUAAAAUGAUAAAAAAAUAAAAAUAAAAAUUAUUGAAAGUAUAAAAAAUUUGAGUUAAGGUAGUGAUUGUAUAGACGAUAAAAAUUUUAUAUGCUUAAAAGUUAAUGACAUGGUUUAUUCUAUUCGUGCCUAAAAACAUUAAUUUAUAAAAUAAUUUAUUUUUAUAAAUAUUAAUAUAUACACUUUUUUAGAUUGAUAUGAUAGAAAAAUCGAAUCGAUUAAAAAUUUUACAAUAAAAUGAUUUAAAAAAAAAAUAAAGAAUGUUUUUUGGGCUACGUAAAAGAAUAUUGAUCACUCUAUAAGACUGGUUUUUUAUAUCCUUUUGCAUAUAUUUUAGUAGAUAAGGGAGAAAUUAUUUUCUUUACGCCUCUGGUUUCUAUACGGCUGAAAUUUUCAUUCAGUCAAUGACAUGAAUUUCAAAAUAGGAUGCCUAUUUAAUUUUUAUAAAUACAAAUGAUUGUACCCAAAUAUAAUAAUUUGCAUGCGUAUAUAUAUUUGAAUAAUUUCUGAUAGUUCUCUUUAAUAUUACUUAUAGUCUAUUCCCAGCUCAUAAAUAGGAGGAUAAUGUGAUUCAGCAUACUCAAACCCACGUCAUCUUGCAUUGAAAACAAUAAUCAUACUAAUCGAACUAAGACUCAAUCAACAAUUUGCAUAAUUCAUGCAAUUGGUGAUUAUUAUAAAACAACAUUCAAUAAAUAUUAAUAUUCAAAUGUUAAAUUUAUAAUUGUUUGUGCUAUUUUAGGUUCCAACAAGUUAAAAAUUCGUGUUGGGUUAGUUUUUUUUAUAUAUAUGUUUCUGGAGAUCUGUUAAAGGAUGCAGUCAAUUAUCAGGAGUCACUCUCGAAGGGUCUUAUCAUAUAAUAGAACACAAUAAUGGUAUUUGUUAAAAUUGGAAUCUAAGAUGGUGAAAAGGAGGAUAGCCACCUUUGACUUAACCUUUUGUACAUUAUGGAUGCGAUGAGUCUCUUGAUUGAUCGAAGUUUAUUGUCAGCCUUUUGUACAUCACAGAUGCAGUGAGUCUCUUGACAGAUAUUUCUUGGUUGACUGGAGUUUAUUGUCAGGUUGGUUUGAUGAUGGCACGAUUAAGAUACAAUUUUCAAUGGUUUGAUCAAGAUGGUACAUUUUUUGUUUGUUUUUGAAUUCUUUUAGAGUUACGAAUAUUUUACAAACAUAUAACAUAUGAGCAUCAAUUUAUAAUUUAUUAUAUCCCAUAUUUUUAUAUUCUUAUUAUUCAUGAUUGCUAUUAAUGAUAUGUUUUCUUUGUACAUAUAUGAAAUAGACGAUAAGAUUGAAGUAAUUUCUUUUUCCAAAAUAAUAAGCAUGCAUGAGAAUUGUUCAUCGCCAUGUGCUAAAGACUUGGACUGUUUGUCAAAGUUCUCUUCAAAAAAAUCAUAUAACUCACAAUGAAAGUUUAUAUAUAUAUAUAUAUAUAUAUAUAUAUAAGCAUAGUCAGGCCAACCAAUGUAGAAAAAAACUAACAUGAUAUCAUCUUUUCUUAUUGCCCAGUAUUUAUUUAGCAAAUAUUGACUGUAAUAUUGUCAUGAUUAGACCAUAUUAUUUUUGGACAAGAACAAGGUCAUUUCCAGUAAAUUCAAAAUAAAAUAUUAACUUAGUUUUAAAAUUAGAUUAAAAAGACAAUGUAACCCAAAAAGUUCAAAUAAGCCCCUAUUUUAAUAAAAUCAGUAGGUUCAAAUUUAAAAUUUCGAACAAAAUUAGGUGUCUAUAUAGAUAUUUUGUUAAAUACCAAAAUUUCCAAUGAAUUAUCAAAAUUUCUAAACUUAUACCAGAAUACCAAAAUUUCUAAAGUAAUAGUUGAUAUACCAAAGAUAUUACGUUAUAUGCCACAAUUUUAAGGGAAUACCAAUAUUUCUAAGCAAUCUCAUUAGAAAUUUUGGUAUACCAAAUCAUGUUACACAAACUUUUACCAAAAUUUCUAAGAGUUCAACAUUUUAGAUCACAAUUUCAAAGUAAAUAUCAAUAUUUCUAAGGAACCUCAUUAGAAAUUUUGGUAUACCAAAAUCAUGUUGCACAAGCCUAUACCAAGAUUUUUAAUGAAAUGCUAAAAUUUCUAAGCGCAUAUCUUUAGAUAUUUUGGUAUACCCAAAUCGCGUUAUAGAAGCUUUUACCAAAAUUUCUAAAAGAAUAGUAAUAUUUCUAAGGAACCUUGCUAGAAAUUUUGGUAUAUCAAAAUCAUGUUACACAAGCCUAUACCAAAAUUUUCUAGUGAAAUACCAAAACUUCUAAGCACAUAUCUUUAGAUAUUUUAGUAUAUGCUUCAAUUUCUAAGGGUACCAAUAUUUCUAUGGAACUUUGUCAAAAAUUUUGGUAUGCCAAAAUCAUUUUACACAAGAUUUUACCAAAAUUUCUUAGAGCUUAACCUUAGAUAUUUUGGUAUGUAGCGCAAUUCUUAAGGGAAUAUCAAUAUUUCUAAACAACCUCGUUAGAAAUUUUGGAAUACUAAAAUUAUGUUACACAAGCCUAUAUUAAUAUCUUUAAUGAAAUAUUGAAGUUUUUAAGAGCUUAUCCUUAGAUGUUUUGACAUAUACCACUUUUUGUAAGGGAAUACCAAUAUUUCUAUAGAACUCUGUUAAAAAUUUUAGUAUACCGAAAUCUAGAUUUACAAACUUAUAUCAAGAAUUCUAACAAAAUACCAAUAUUUCUAAUAGCAUAUCCUUAAAUAAUUUGAUAUAUUCCAAAAUUUAUAAUGGAAGACCAAAAUUUCUAUAACUUUCAAUGAACUACAGUUCUUGGUAAAUCUAUAUACCUAUAUAUAUAUAUAUAUAUAUGAAAGGAAAAACAUCCUCCUUUUCUUGAUAGAUGGCACACCUAAAAUCAAUGGCGGACGUUAUAGAUGGCACACCUACAAUCAAUGGCGGAGUCAAGUAGAGGCUUAGGGGACCAUGACCUCCCAAAGUUUAAUUUUUUUUAAUUUAGUCCUUUGUAAAUAUACUAUGGCCCUUCCUAAAAUAUAAGUAGAUCCUCCUAAAGUUUAAGAUUUUUGCAAUUUCCCCCUUUAUAUAUAUUAUGGUUCUCCUAAAAAUAUAAAUACUCCCCUCCAAUAUUUUUAUAGUAUUAAAAAUAAAAUUAAAAAAAUUAUUCUUGAUAAAAACAAAGAAAAAUAUUCUUGAAGAUGCUAAAUUACUCAUGAUGACUUUUGAAUGAUAUUUUUGUUAAAAAAUAAUAAAUCAAUUGUUAUAUUGAAAUACUCCUUCUUUUGAAUUGAUUGUUUAUAUGUUUAAAUCGAUUGUUACGUAACACGUCUAAUUUUAGCAUGAUCCCCUCCAAAAUUAACAUCUUGGCUCCGCCACUGCCUACAAUACUCCUUUUAUUUUGCAUUCAAUAAAAAAAGUUAAAUUUCAAUUUCGGUUCAUCUAAUAUGCCUAAACUUGAGAUUUAAUAUAUAUACUUUAAUUUCUAACAUAAUUUGGUUUCUAUAUAUUAUUAUAAUAUUAUUAAUCAGUUCAAAUAGUUAAUAUUAUUCACUUUUCAAUUAAAAUAUUAUAUGGUUAUAUAUAAUUUGAAUACCUUAAUAGUCUUGGAGGCUAACAUACAGCUUUUUGUUUCAUUUAAGUUCGUGUCAUUUUUUUAACAUUAUAAGAUAAUGGUCAAAUUUUAUUUUUGGCCUCUAGACUAUGUUAAAACUUGAGAUUAAUCUAUAUACUUUAAUAUUUUACAUAAUUUGGGCUAUCUACUUUUAUAAUGUCAUUAGCUGGUCUAAAUAAUUAAUAUUAUUAACUAUUUUAAUUAAAAUGUUGGGUAAAUUUUUCUUAAGAACAUUAUUUCAAGAAGAAAAAAAUUAUUUUAUCGAAUUUAAAUGAGUGUUUUUAAGAGAAACUCCUAAUCAAUAUUUUUAACAUUAUUUUUAUUGUUACAUGACUAUUAAGGGAAUCUUUUUAUUUUAAAAUGUCCACCAGAGAAUUUAAUAUAAUAAUUUUAUCGAUGGUAACAAUUGAGCUAAAAUUUUUAAUUUGAAAAGUAGAUAAUUAUGUUCUUAAAAAUAAAAGUAAGACUAAAUUUCAAAUGAACAAAGUGUAUCAGGUCUUAGAGUAUAUUUUAAUCUUCAAAUUUUUACUUUAUAAUUUCACACAAAUAAAUAAUCAACUUAACGUGAAGCAUGAGAUGAGAACCUUAUUAGUAUUUUUCAAAAGUUGCUUAAUGCGCUUUAAAAGUUAUCAAGUAUUUUACAUUAAGGCAAAAAAAAAGAGAGAGAGUAAACUACACUCAAUUUCACUAAACUACUAGUAAAUUUACAUUUAGGUUACUCAACUUCAGAAAGUUAUAAAAUGAUCAUUGAACUAUUUGAAAGUUUUCAUUUAACUUGGCGGACUGUUAAAAUCAUUGAUGUAUGGCCUUUCCUAUUUGCAUCGCAAACACCAAUUGAAAGCUUUCCUUCCCUUUCUCUUCUACAUUUCAAUUUUUUUUCAUGAAAUAACUUUGAACGUGACAAAUCUGUAAACAAAAAUCUAAACAGCUUUCUUCUUUAAUCUCUAACACUAAUCGUCAGAUCAACUUGAAUAUAAUGCAUGUUCUUCUACUCAUCAAUUGGUACAGAUCCAUCGUACUGAUCGUUGAACCAUUGCUUGGAGCUCGCUAGCUUGGCCUUUUAAAAAAAAAAAAACCCUUUAUAACCCAAUGACUUAAAUGAGAGUGACCAUUCUGUAAUAUUUUGAAGUUGAGUGAUUUGAAUAUAAACCUACUAAUAGUUAUCUUUGGUUUAGUUUACCCAAAAAUAUAUAUUAUAUAUAGUUAAUAUAUGUCAUAAGUCCCUAUACUAUUCAUAAAAUUGAAAUUUAAUCCAUCUUAAUUUCUAGAAAUUUAAUCCUAUACUUUAAAGAUUUUUCAAAAUUCAAAUUCAAUUGUUAACAUUGUUAAAAUUAUUUUAUUAAAUUCAUGUUCGUUAUAACAUUAUAUUUCUAUCAAGUGAGUUUUUUUUUAAAUGUCACGCCAAUAAAUUUUAAAAAAAAAUAAUGUUAACAAGUGUACCAAUAUUUUGAAAUCUCAAGAGUAGAAGAAUUAAAUUCUUGAAAAUAAAAAGCAUAAGAACUAAAUUUGAAAUUUAUGAAGAGUACAAUGAUUUAUGACAUAUAUAAACCUAUAUAUAAUAAAAGAAAGGAAAAAACAAAAAUACCAAAUAAAUACCAACAAGUGUUAAGGACAACAUAUCGCAUAGGAGACACAAGUUUAAAUUUUGAACACAAUAUAGUUAGGAGAAGCAGCCAUAAACCCAAACACAAACAGUAAAAGGGACAUUUAAAAUACCAAAAAAAUUACAAAAUAAAUAAAAAAAAACUACAAAGGGAAGUUUAUGCUGCAAGAGAUGAAACGCUGUGGACCAACUAAUUUUUACUCGUCAACUAAUUGGGUAUAGAUCCUUUGUUCCAUAUUCAUCAUCUACCAUUGUAAGAUAUGGCUUCCAAGGCCUCCCUGACGGUAUCAGAGUAAUUCUGUGCCUCUCUAAUGAAAUUAAUUGAUGACGGUUGGCCGGCUCGAAACACAACCUCAUUUCUCAUUUUCCGGAUAAUAAACAGACACCCAAAAGUUAAGACUGUAUCCUGAUCACUGAAGACAACCAGUGAGAGAUAUUAUACCGUGACAAUAAAUGGGAUGUACAUCUAAGCUAGACACAAGGAGAUAUGUCUCCUUAGUACUUUCUACCAUUGGAGAUUGCAACUUUACCCCCAAAUAUCAGACUAUCGUUACGUUUUCUCUAUGAAGAAGCCUUGGACACAUCCUUAGUUGACCUAUUGUACUUCAUAUGGCUCUUAACUAAUUGUCCUGCUGCAAUUGCAGACAUAAGCGACAGCUCCCCUGCAAGAACAGCAGACGCUACAAUGGUUGCCAGCGUCCUAGAGUUUGCUCCUGGUGUCUCUUUGCUUGCACCCUUCACUCCAAGUAAGUUCAAACAGGCUGAUUGAGAUGCAAGCUGAGUUCCACCACCAACAGUCCCAACCUAAAAGAUACAGCAACACAGAUUAUUAGAGACUAACAUAAAUACCCAGAUUUUGUUUUGGCAACGAAAGUCCUUGUGUUGGAUAAUCAGACAGCAACACUAUCAAUUACCUCGAUGGAAGGCAUUGUGACAGAGACGUGGAGGUCCUUUCCAUCAUUAACAGCUUCCAUCAUCGUGAUGCAAUGCGAGCUCUCGACAUUUUGAGCCGGAUCUUGGCCGGUAGCUAUGUAGAUUGCAGCAACGAUGUUACUGGCGUGAGCGUUGAAUCCACCCAGAGCUCCAGCCAUAGCUGAUCCAGUAAGGUUCUUAAGCAUGUUAAGCUCAACGAGAGAUUCCACACUUGUCUUCAAGACCUUCCUAACCACAUCACCCUUAAUGGUGGCUUCACAGACAACAGAUUUGCCUCGUCCUUCAAUCCAAUUUACCGCAGCCGGUUUUUUGUCGGAACAAUAGUUUCCUAUAUGCGCAAAUUCAUAAAUAUCAGUGAUCCUAUGUCGGAACAGUGAAAGACAUAAUUACAAGCCUAUACAAAAAACUGAAACUCACCAGAGAUGCCGAUGACAUCCAUGUCAGGGAAAUCAGUUUGAAGGAAAUCCAAAACGUUUUGCACUCCCUUGGAAACCAUGUUCAUCCCCAUAGCAUCACCUGUACUGCAAGUGAAUCUAAUAUACAGAUUCUUUCCAGCAAUUGCACAUUUGAUACCUUGGAGCCUGCCAAAUCUACUUGAUCUGCAACCACCAAAAAGCCAAAAUUUUCAAUAUUAGCUUGAAUUUUAAAUCCAUCAAUAUGGAGUUCUAGAAAUAUCAACACAAACCUGUUGAAAACAACAGACAAGGUCUCGAAAUUAUCAGGGUCCUCCAAAUACAACUUCAAAUCAGCUGCCCUUUUCGCAGUACCGAACCUUACACAUGGAGCUCUAGUCAUACCAUCUUUCAAUAGAACACUUGUAGCUCCACCAGACAAAUGAAUAGCCUUACAGCCCCUAUUAGUGCUAGCCACCAAGCACCCUUCCGUGGUUGCCAUAGGAACCGAGUACUCUCUUCCAUUAACCAACAAAGGCCCGGAAAUUCCAACGGGAAUUUGCACGUAGCCAACCGGCAUCUCACAACACUGCCCCAAAAUCGACUCGUAAUCAAACCCAUCCAAGGGCAAUCCUGAUAACGACUUCCCUGUUAAUCUUUGCAACGCUUCCCGCCUGAUUGCGGCCGCCCUCUUGCAAUCACCCAAUUUCGAUUCCAAGGAAUACGAAGGGGUUGUACCAGCCACUACAGAUUUAAUUAUUUCUUCAUCUUCCUCCGUUAGUACCGUCACAGGCUUUUCAUCGAACACCUUCUGAACGGUCACGAUUGGUGCCGCAGGAGGCAGAGGUGGAAGCGAACAAUCGAGAGCUUGCCCGCAAGGGACCUUACGGGCAUCUUCCUUUGCAAGCAGAACUUCAUCAUCCUCUUCCUCGUCCUCGGCAAUCCAAACGUCAGGCGAUGGUUGGAAAACCAAAGAUUGAACGAAGUCAAUCCCAAAGAAACCCAAAAGGUAAAUAAAGGACGCUAAAAAUGAGAGAAUGGCGAUGAUCUCGGAAAAGGUGACGACAUGGAGAGGUGUGGAGGUACGGAUCUUCUCACGCCAACGGGAAAGAAGAAAAUAAACCACCGAGAAGAAGAGGGUGAAGAACAGGGCAUUCGUUAGGUGCAAGGGAAGCGGCAAUGCGUCGGAGGCUUUACCGUGAUCUUCCUCUAAAGGAAUCUUCUUCGUUGGCUUGAGAGAUUGAACAGGUUUAGUCGAAUACAGCCGGGGAGCCUCCAUAUUGGGUGUCGACGGCGCGGAAGCCCGGCAGUGGAGAAGGAGAAUAGAAGAGGAGUGGAAGUGAGAGAGGAUUUCAGUUAGUUUUACGAUUAUGGUGAAGGUGGAGUUGGAGAUGCUGGAGUUUAGGGAGGGAAGGGGAGUAUUUAUAGGACAGAGAGUAAAGAGUGGUGGAGCGUGAGGAAAAAGGCGCGUGAAGUGAAGUGUUGGGCCCGUGUGAGUGGGGAGUCAAAGAAAGAAUUUGAAGGGCAGUGUUUGCGUGCAGUGCAUGUGCAUGGGGGCGCAUUGCAUUUUCCUUUCGUUUGGUCUUAUCUCCGUUAACUGCUAUUUUGUAUCUCUUUUAAUUAUUCCUUAUUUUGGGCAUUCAUUAAUUAAUAUGAGACCAUAUUUAAACUUUUGAUGAAUGGUAGUGAUAAAUAUAUAUAAUCUCGAAUAUAAAUCGUAAAAUUAACAUUAAAUAAAUAAAUAUAUAUAAUAUAUGUGAUAAAAUUUAUCAUUAGUAAUAUAGAUAAAGAUCACAGUGGAAUUUACUUCUUCGAUAUUUACAUAUUAUUAGUUUUAUAAUUGUUUAUACAAUGUUUAAAAUUAUAUAUAGCUCCUCUUAAAGGAUAAUGCGCACUCACUGAGUUAGGACUCAAUCGAUAACAAUCUUACAAAUUUUAUUUUAUAUAAAAAGAAGAGCUUCCAUUUUUUAUUAAAAAAUUACAGAUACAAUUGUGUUUAUUUUGAACAAAUGAAUUAUUCAUAUGAAUAUACAUUUUAGGGUAAAUAUUUAUAAAAAUUAAUUUUUUAAACUGGUAUGGUGAUUAACUAUUUAUAUUUAGGGUUUUGCACAGUUUUGUAUACGAUGGUGUAUUAAAUCCUGUGAAAAUAUUUCAAUGGAGAAGGGAGAAUUCAGUCUAUGACAUGAAAUUCAAAAUAGGAUGCCUGCUUUAUUAUUAUAAAUAUUGAUUCAUGCCGUCACCAUUAUUAUUUUAAAUCCUCUAAAUGAUUUAUAUAUUUAUAUAAUUUUGGAUAAUUUAAUUUAUCUUUUAAUGGAAAUGUUAAAAAAAUAAACUAUUAAAAUAGUCACUUUUGUUUACCUUAUAUUACAUUUUAGUUGUUGUAACAUUUUAGUCACUGAGCGGUUAAGUGUCAUUAAUAAUAUAAUGGUAAGCUAAUAUGGCAUGUUAAAUCAUCAUUUCAAACAAAAAAUUCAGGUUAAAUUAUACAAUUGGUCCAAUAUUUCUCUGUUUUGAACAAUUUUUUUCUUUAUUUUCCAUUCUCUUUUAUUUCUCUCUUUGUUUUCCUCCCUUUUUCAUUUUUUUAACUUAAUUUUUCUAUGUUUUCUAUUUGUUAAAACUAGUCCCUAUACUUUUAUUUUUUUGAACAUUUUAAAAUUUUUAAUUUUCCUUUUCUUCUUCUCCUUUAGUUUUAACAAAUGAAAAAUAUAGAAAAAUUACAUUAAAAGAGAUAGAAAAGGGAGAAAAACAGAGGAAGAAGUAGAAGAGAAAGAAAAAUAAAGAAAUUAAAAUGCUCAAAACGAAAAUAAUAUGGGGACCAAAUAUAUAAUUUAACCUAAAAUUUUUGUUUGAAAUGAUGAUUUAAUGUGCCACAUCAGCUUACCGUUACAUCGUUAACGGCUCAGUGACUAAAAUGUUACAACACGUUAACAUAAAUGACUAAAAUGUAACAUUUCAAACAUAACUGACUAAAAUAUAAUAAACUAAAGCAAACAAAAAAGUGACUAUUUUGAUUGUUUCCCUUUAAUAAAUGGUUCAUUACAGUAAUAUAUUAAAUUUAUUCUUAUUUUGUAUUAUUUUUCACAUGUGUAAUAUUCUGAUUAUUUUUUAAUGUUUAAUGUACUAACGUUUAAAUUUAUUCCAUCAUAGCCCAAGAAAAAUAAUAAGAAAUAGACGAUAAGAUUGAAGUAAUAUUUUUUCCAAAAUAACAAGCUUGCAUUCAUGCAUGAGAAUUAUUCAUCACCAUGUGCUAAAGACUUGGACUGUUUGUCAAAGUUUUCUUCAGAAAAAUCAUAUAAUUUAUAAUGGAAGUAUAAGCAGAGUCAGACCAACCAAAGAAGAAUCAUGAUAUCAUCUUUUUUUAUUGCCCAGUAUUUAUUUAGCAAAUAUUGACCGUAAUAUUGUCAUGGUCAGACCAUAUUAUUUUUGCACAAGUGACGCACGAAUAUUCAGUGUAGACUUGCUCAAAACAGUAGGAAAUGAUGAACAAGGUCAUUUCGUAGAAAUUGCAGUCAAUGCUCAUAUUUUGGCUUAAUCCAGCUGGAGUUUAGGUAAAAAUUGAUUCAAAAUUGGAUAACUAUAUAUAUAAUAUUGAUAUCAUAAAUAAGUUAUUUUAAUCCAAGUCAGUUCAAUCCAUGAAUACCUUUAAUAUGUAUACAUGAUAUGAUAUGUGAAAAAUGAGCUCAACUCAUGAAUAUUUCUCAUAUGUAUGCAUGCUUGAUGCAUGAUAUGUGGAAAAUAACUUAACUUGUUGUAUAGGUUUUGUACGGAGUAUGGACGGCAUUUAUAAGUUCAUUUUUGGAACUUGUAUUUUAGAGUGCAGUUGAGAACGUAAAUAAGUUUGUUGAAGUUUUCAGGGGGAGAAUUUAGAGGUGAGUAAUCUAGAUCUUUUGGUACAAAGUGAGGUUGCUCUAGCAGGAUGUGAUAAGACUUGAAUCAUUUGGUGUAUUGGGUUAAAAGAUAGUGGAUUUACUUACUAAGUUAGGCUUCACAAAUAAAGUAAAACUAAACUACGUAAACAACCUUUUGUGUUCUUGUUUUGUUGUUUUUGUCACAAUGCUACCUUCAAUUGGCAUAUCGCAAUUGAAGAAGCAAAAGUUUGUCUGGAAGAAGAAAGAUCCUAAGUGCUUGAUGUACAGUGUUUCGGUAAUGGUUGCUUUCAUCACAUGAUAGGUAAUCAUGCAUACUUUUCUAAUUUUGGAGAUCAUCAUAAGGGUCUAGUCACAUUUGGUGAUGGUAAGAAAUGUCAUAUCCAUGGAAACGGAACACUUAAUGUCCUUGGAAUGCUAAAGUUGAAGAAUGUGUUGAAAGGUCAUAUUGUUAAUGACUUGAAAGCUAAUUUGGUGAGCAUUAUCUAAAUGUGUGACUAAGGCAUGAUUAUCAAUUUCACCAAAGACAAGUAUCUGGUUUCAUCAAAGUCUUAUGAGAAGACUAAUGUUUCUAACUUAGAGUUGUGGCAUGAGAAACUUAGCCACAAUCAUUACAAAGGGCUCCGAAGAUUGGUUUGAUAUGUUGCUGGAAUAGGCAACCCAAAACUAGGUGGUGUCAUUCCUAAAGUCCGUUAUGGAUGCUUGAAAGUUAGAGAGGAUCACAUGGAGAAUCAUCAAAGGUUGUCACAUAUCCAAAUUAUUGCAUCUCUCAAGUUACUACACAUAGAUCUCAUUGGACCUAUGUGAAUCGAGAGCAUUGGAGUAAACCGUUAUGUCCUAGUCUAUGUAGAGGACUUUUCAAGGUACACAUGGGUGAGAUUUUUUAGAGAAUUCUAACACAUCUAAAGAAUUCAGGAAACUAUGCAGAAGAUUUUGUCAAUUUUUAUGACGAGGAAAUGAUCAAACUAAGGCACCGCAAUAUAAUGGAGUUAUGGGACACAAGAACCGUACCAUAUAGGAGAUGGCAUGAGUGUUGCUUAACAACAAAAGAGUUACUCAUAAGUUUUAAGUUGAGGCAGUGAACAUUGCAACCUAUAUCUUUAACAAAGUUCUUACUAGGCGAAAAACUCACAUGACACUUUGUAAGAUGUGAAAUGGGAGGAAGCCAAAUGUCAAGUAUUUCCAUGUGUUUAGAAGUACCUUGAUAGGUGUCGAAUCCACCAAAAAUGAAAUCCUACCCCUAAACAGGAUAUAAAUUAGAAGUUUAAGGAGUAAGGUCGAUCCCACAAGGACUAAUUUAUAUGAACUUGUAGUUUGUUAUAACCAGGACGUAUCGUAAGCAGUUUUGUGCCCAUGAUUUAUGCUAACCUAUACGAAAUAGAAAGAAGGAUUAAAUAUGAAUGUAACUAAAUGUCAAAAAUUAAAUAAUAAUAAUGCAAUAGAAAUAAUCAAAUCAGAAUUAAAAUUGAAUAACCUAAUAAGAUGGAUUUUGACUCUGGCUUUGGAUUGAUCCCAAACAAUGGAUUUUUUCCUCCAAUUGAUAAGUCGGGUAUAGUGACCAAGGAACAACCUCAAAUACCAACCCUUUCGUAUGUAAAUUAACUGCGGGAACAACUCUAAGUUAACCCGUACCAGGUAAAUAACACUGAAAGCAACUUCCAUGAUUUCAUUCCUUGACAACCUCGCGAACUAGAGGGACUCAGCUCAAAUUGACAGCCUCAAUUGCAUGGGUCCACACGCCUACUACCUUUUCCAUCUUUGAUUUUCCAAGUUCUUUUGAAGCAAAAUCCAAGGUUUGUUUGAGCCACAGAGCAUCUUGAAAGAGAAGUUGCUAAGUUGAAAUUCUCUCCAAAAUGGCUCGAGGGAAAACAUGAAUCAAUAGCCCCAACUGAUCUAACUGAAGGAGAAGAAAAAGUUGAAUCUGACCUUGAAACUGUAGCAAUUGCUCCUAUAGUGACUAUUUCAGCAGGUCUUGUGAGCAACCUAGCAGGAUUCAAUCAAAGGAUGGUUAGCAUUUUACUGCUUCUAUUGACUCUCAAAAUUGAUUCAUCUCCAAACUUCGAACUGAAAUCCAAGUCAUUCAACAGAUUCGAGAUCAAGAAAUUGCUUUCCGCAAUGAUUUAUUAACUCAUUCCGAACAAUAAUGUUUGACAUAUUUUUAAAAAAAAGGGAAGUAAAGAGGAAGGAGAUGAUGGCUAAGAUGGUGGCAAGUUGAUUGCUCCUACUAAUGGGAGUUUAUUUUACUUUUGGUUAUUACAAGCUUCAUUUCAUUUUGGGUAUUUCUUUUGAAAUAUUUGUAAUGAUGAACUUUUCUAAUGGAUGGAUGGAUUUUAUUUUGGCGUACAAACUCUUAUCUUCAUCUUACUUAGAUAUAAUUUUAGUAUUUAGAUUGUUGAUACAAAUACUUAAAAGGCAUUAAUGGUUGAUUUACUUGAUUAUGUUUUAAGUUAAGUGUGACGGAUAAGGGGAUUGUACUAAGGGGAAGCAUUUUUUGUUACUGUUGAUAAGCUUCCUAAUUUGAAUUGGUUUUGUUCAAAAAAUUGUAGAAGCAAGUUUCAAAAGUGGCCAGCAAAGUGCCAACGGUAGUGGCCACUAUAGAUAGCAUUGCAAUAGACUCUAUUACUAGCCAUGUUUAGAGUUAGCUUGAAAACGAUGAUGAUAUUAUGAAAAUAUGAAAGUCCAUAUUAUAUUAGUUUUUAUUAUUUAUUGCAUUUUGCUAGUUUAGCUGGUGACACGUUCAAUAAAUAUAAUUUUAAAGGUAUUUUUGUUUUUUUAACUGCAAACUGUUUGGGCAAUAAAUUUAUUUCAAAAGUUGCUUUCAAAUGCUUUAAAAGUUACGGUGUAGUUUACACUAUUCUCAGGUUACAUGGCCUGAAUUUGUCUUUAAAAGAAAGGAAAGAACAAAAUACAAAAUGAAUAAAGAAAAAUCUUUCUGUUCUGUAUAAUCUAUCUACUCCCAUUUACCCGUAGGGUGGCGUUCUUCCGUUCAAUUUCAAUGGCAUUGAUAGAGGGCAGCUUCCACAAGAUGAGUUUAAUCAUCGCCAACUAAUCGUGAAUAACCAAUAUUAAUAAAUAAUCUCCAUUCUUCUCAACCGCCAUAACUGCUCCAUCAACCUGCUAUGUCGGGUGAAAUGGGAACGUACACCUGAGCUACACAAAGGGAUAUAUCUCCUUAGUAAGUUUCUACCAUGGGAGAUUGCCACUUUACCCCCAAAUAUAAGGCCAUCAUUACGUUUUCUCUAUGAAGAAGCCUUGGACACAUCCUUACUUGACCUAUUGUACUUCAUAUGGCUCUUGACUAGUUGCCCUGCUGCAAGUGCUGACAUGAGUGACAGCUCCCCGGCAAGGACAGCACCUGCUACAAUGGUUGCCAGCAUUCUAGAGUUUGCUCCUGGUGUCUCUUUGCUUGCACCCUUCACUCCAAGUAAGUUCAAACAGGCUGACUGAGAUGCAAGCUGUGUUCCACCACCAACGGUACCAACCUAAAAGAUACAGCAACAGAUAUAAUUAGGGGGAUUCAUAAAUACCCAGAUUCUGUUUUGGUAAUGAAAAUCCUUGUGAUGGAUAAUCAGACAGCAACAUAAUCAAUUACCUCGAUGGAAGGCAUUGUGACAGAGAUGUGGAGGUCCUUGCCCUCGUUAACAGCUUCCAUCAUAGUGAUGCAAUGAGAGCUCUCAACAUUUUGAGCCGGAUCUUGGCCCGUAGCUAUGUAGAUUGCAGUGACGAUGUUACUGGCGUGAGCAUUGAAUCCACCCAGAGCUCCAGCCAUAGCUGAUCCAGUAAGGUUCUUGAGCAUGUUAAGCUCAACGAGAGAUUCCACACUUGUCUUCAAGACCUUCCUAACCACAUCACCCUUAAUGAUGGCUUCGCAAACAACAGAUUUGCCUCGUCCUUCAAUCCAAUUUACAGCCGCUGGUUUUUUGUCGGAACAAAAGUUUCCUAUAUGGACAAAUUCAUAAAUUUCAGUAAUCCUAUAUAGAACAGUAAAAACAUAGAACACAAUUACAAGUCUAUGGAAAAGUGAAACUCACCAGAGAUGCCAAUGACAUCCAUGUCAGGGAAAUCAGUUUGAAGGAAAUCCAAAACAUUUUGGACUCCCUUGGAAACCAUGUUCAUCCCCAUAGCAUCACCUGUACUGCAAGUGAAUCUAAUAUACAGAUUCUUUCCAGCAAUUGCACAUUUGAUACCUUGGAGCCUGCCAAACCUACUUGAUCUGCAACCACCAAAAAGUCAAAAUUUUCAAUAUUAGCUUGAAUUUUAAAUCCUUCAAUAUGGAGUUCUAGAAAUAUCAACACAAACCUGUUGAAAACAACAGACAAGGUCUCGAAAUUAUCAGGGUCCUCCAAAUACAACUUCAAAUCAGCUGCCCUUUUCGCAGUACCGAACCUUACACAUGGAGCUCUUGUCAUACCAUCUUUCAAUAGAACACUUGUAGCUCCACCAGACAAAUGAAUAGCCUUACAGCCCCUAUUAGUGCUAGCCACCAAGCACCCUUCCGUGGUUGCCAUAGGAACCGAGUACUCUCUUCCAUUAACCAACAAAGGCCCGGAAAUUCCAACGGGAAUUUGCACGUAGCCAACCGGCAUCUCACAACACUGCCCUAAAAUCGACUCGUAAUCAAACCCAUCCAAGGGCAAUCCAGAUAACGACUUCCCUGUUAAUCUUUGCAACGCUUCCCGCCUGAUUGCGGCCGCCCUCUUGCAAUCACCCAAUUUCGAUUCCAAGGAAUACGAAGGGGUUGUACCAGCCACUACAGAUUUAAUUAUUUCUUCAUCUUCCUCCGUUAGUACCGUCACAGGCUUUUCAUCGAACACCUUCUGAACGGUCACGAUUGGUGCCGCAGGAGGCAGAGGUGGAAGCGAACAAUCGAGAGCUUGCCCGCAAGGGACCUUACGGGCAUCUUCCUUUGCAAGCAGAACUUCAUCAUCCUCUUCCUCGUCCUCGGCAAUCCAAACGUCAGGCGAUGGUUGGAAAACCAAAGAUUGAACGAAGUCAAUCCCAAAGAAACCCAAAAGGUAAAUAAAGGACGCUAAAAAUGAGAGAAUGGCGAUGAUCUCGGAAAAGGUGACGACAUGGAGAGGUGUGGAGGUACGGAUCUUCUCACGCCAACGGGAAAGAAGAAAAUAAACCACCGAGAAGAAGAGGGUGAAGAACAGGGCAUUCGUUAGGUGCAAGGGAAGCGGCAAUGCGUCGGAGGCUUUACCGUGAUCUUCCUCUAAAGGAAUCUUCUUCGAUGGCUUGAGAGAUUGAACAGGUUUAGUCGAAUACAGCCGAGGAGCCUCCAUAUUAGGUGUCGACGGCGGCAGAAGCCCGGCAGUGGAGAAGAAGAAUAGAAGAGGAAUGGAAGUGAGAGAGGAUUUCAGUUAGUUUUACGAUUAUGGGGGAAGGUGGAGUUUGAGAUGCUGGAGUUUAGGGAGGGAAGGGGAGUAUUUAUAGGAUAGAGAGUAAAGUGUAGAGAGAGCGUGAGGAAAAAGGCGCGUGAAUUGAAGUGUUUGGCACUUGUUAGUGCGGAGCUUUACCAAGUGAAGAGUCAAUGGAAGAAUUUCAAGGGAUGUGUUUGGAAGCGUGCGUGCGUGCGUGCAGUGCAUGUGCAUGGUGGGGCAUUGCAUAAUCCUUUCAUUUGUUCUUUUCUCCUGCCACAUUUGGAGAAAAUGCUGAUUUUAAAAAAAUAUUCAGGAAAAUAUUUUUUUUCCAAUAUUUAAAAAAAUAAGUUGAUUUUGAAAAAAAUAAUAAAGCAUAUUUUGCAGAAAUUGUUUUUUUGCUGAAAAAGCUCGUAGGAUUAGUUUCUACUUUUUUAAUACAUUAGCUCAUUUGGUUAGAUGAUUAAAUGUUAAUUAUUUUGUCUUUUAAGUCUCGAGUUUGAUUCUUCUCUUACUCACAUUUGUAUUCUUAUUUCAAGUCGUUUCAAGCUUUGCUUUUAUUUUUAAUUAUGGUUUUUAACACAUUAACUCCUUUUGUUAGAUUGUUAAAUAAUAGUGAUUUUUUUUGUGAAAGAAAGGAAACAAUACAAGCUAAAUCCUCAAAGGACGGUCCACAAACAAUCUUAAGCCUAGACUUCUAAUGCAAACAAUCUUGGCUAGGCUAUCCGCAAUUAGAUUAUUUCCCUUGGGAACAUGCUGAAUUUUCCACUGCUCUAGCUUUUUAAGCGUCUGAUGAAUUCUCCUAAUAAUGGUAGAAUUGGAGAUACCCGUAUCAUCUUCCAUGAUAUCUUUAAUAGCUUCAAUACUAUCAGUUUGAAUAAGGACAUUUUGGAAACACCUAUCUGCCAUAAGAUUCAGCCCAUCCAAAAACCCCCAGAGCUCUGCCUCCAACACUGAACAAUUACCCAAAUAUCUCGCGAACCCUAUAAUUCACUCUCCCUUGUAAUCUCUCACGCAACCUUCCGCAGCUGCAAAGCCCUCGUUAAUCCUAACUGAACCAUCAGUGUUCAAAUAAACCCAACUGUAGGAGAUAUGGCAAUUAGGUAGAGUUCUUUGGGCUUCAAACUUUGAGAUCGAGGAAACAGAGGAAUACUAUUUAACCCAACUAAACUAGAUUUUAAUAAUUUCCUCAACACUCCACGAAAUUCUUUGGAAAACAAAUAUGUUGCGACUCUUCCAAAUACGCCACGUAAUAAUUCCAAAAAGGUAGGACCAAUCGAUUUCCCCUGUCGAAGAAGUCAACUGGUUCUGCAAAUUAGUCGCCGUCCAAUCAAAUAAAGAGCCUGAGUAAAAACUAGAAAAAGCUUGUUGAGGAAUGAUUUUAUCCCAAACUCCUUUGGCUGCAGGAUAAUCUCGGAGUAUAUGCAUCACAUCCUCCAAAACAUGACUACAAAUACUGCAAGUGUUGUUACUCCCACAACCUCGUCUUACUCUUUCAACAUUUGUAAGCAGCUUUUGCUUUAAGACAAGCCAAAUAAAGAAGCGGAUCCGAUAAGGGCCUUUAAAUUUCCAAGGUAUCCUCCAAAACGCUUCCUUGGGAUUCAAAGUGUCUUCACAAUGGGAUUCAAAGUGUCUUCACAAACCUUCCUAUAUGCACUCUUGAGAGAGAGAAGGUGUCAGUCGAGGUGGCUCCCCAAAUAAGUCCUAGCUUCGAUUUCUCUUUUAAGCAUAUUUGUAUUUUUUUUUCACAUUGUUUCAAAUUUUUCUUAAUUCAUCUUUUUAAUUAAUAAUUCUUUUAUUUAUAAAAUUAAAUAAUUAUUUUAAAUUAUCUAAUAAAAAAUAUAUUCUGAUAAAAAUGAUAUUUUUCAUUAUGUUAAAUAUAAUUUAUUUUUUAAAACAUCAACUUUUUGUUAUAUUUUUCUUUAUGUAAAAUAUAUAGGUUCUCCAUGUGGAUAUGGUGAUUUCUAAUAUUAUAAAAUCAAAUAAUUAUUUCAAAUAUCAUUAUUAUUUUUAUACGUAAAAUAUUUUAAAUAUCAUUAUUUUUUCAUGUACAUUGUAGGUAUGAUAUUUCAAAUAUUUUUAUACAUGAAAUAUUUCAAUUAAUUAUUUGAAAUUACAUUAUGUUUAUAUGUGAAAUAUUUCAAUUAAUCAUUUCAAAUUACAUUAUGUUUAUAUGUGAAAUAUUUCAAUUAAUUAUUUCAAAUUACAUUAUGUUUAUAUGUUAAAUAUUUCAAAAAGACGUACAAAAAUAUAUAAUACUAAAAUUUAAUACGUUCAUGAUAUGGAUUGAAAAUAAAAUUACACAUAAUAUUUAUAUUUAUUAAAGAUAAUGAUAUUUGAAAAUGAUUAUUUUAUUUUUAAAUAAAAUAAUUAUUAAUUAAAAAGAUAAAAAAAACUUGAAAACAAUAUAUUUAUUAAUUAAAAAAUUUAAAAGAAAACUUGAAACAACAUGAAAUAAAAAAAAGUACAAAUUUGCUUAGAAUAGGAAUCAAACCUAGGACUCAAUGAUAAAAUCACUAUUAUUUAACCAUAUAACCAAAGAAAUUAAUGUGAGUAGGAGAAGAAUCUAACCCGAGACUCAAGGACAAAACCAUUAAUAUUUAACUAUCUGACUAAAGGAAUUGAUAUAUUAAAAGAGUUAGAAAACACGCACUAUAAAAUGCAUUAUUUUAUUUGUCUCUCCAAAUUUAAAACCUUCUAUCAGUCAGCUGCUAUUUUGAUGUUUUCUGUCACUUAUUUAGCAUUAUUCUGCCUUUUACUUAUUCCUAAUUUUGGGUUGUUUUUCAUUAAUUAAUUAAUUAAUUAGAGAUCAUAUUAUGAAUGUAUUUAAUAUUUAUGGAAGUAAUGUUAAAAAGAAAUCUGGAGGUUUUUCUUUUUGCUCAUGAUUAAUUGGAUAAGUUUACAUUUUUACAAAAAAAAAAUAUUAAGACAAAGUCAGAGUGAAAAAAUAAUUAAGCAAGAAAAAUUCAGAAAAAUAAAUUGAUUCUUCAAUUAAAAAAAUGUAAAGCUUUAUUUGUUUUAUUAUUGAAAAAAAAAGGUCAUUCCCAAUUACUAUCAUUAAUAGUCAAAUUAUUAUUAUUUUUUUUGCAUGUUUAUUUCAUGUUAUAUUUUAACAAAAUAAAAGAAAUAUAUACUUUUUUUUAUAAAGAUUUAUUAAAUUACAGUCCAAAUUUGACAUUUAUAAUAUUAAAUAAAAUCUAAUCCACAUUUGACUCCUUAAUUAUCACGUUUCUUCCUUCCUUAAUUUUCAGUCAGUGAAUCACAUUAAAUUCAAAAUAGGAUGCAUAAUUAUUUAUUAUAUAUACAAGUGAUUGCAUAUAAUAUUAGUUCAUGCAGUCACCAGUAGUUGAAUAUUAACAUUUACAACUAUUUCCCGAGAAAAUGUAUGUGUUUUGUAUUAUAUAUAUAAGUUGGUAAUGCUGAUUGAGAAAAGACUUUUAAGAGGCUUUAAUAUCAUUGAGUUAUUAAGGUUAAGCCACUUGCUCGACUUAGUUUGUGUUUACUACAUGUAUUGUGUGUUUGGCUGUUGCAGAGUAUCCUCAGUGGAGGAGAAAAAUCAUCUGCUAUUUUUUAAAAUUCAUAUUACUAUUUUACUAUUUUACCUUUUUAAAGUAGAUCAUUUUUAUUUUUUUUAGUGUUUAAUGUACCUAGACGAUAAGAUUGAAGUAAUUUCUUUUUCCAAAAUAAUAAGCAUGCAUGAGAAUUGUUCAUCGCCAUGUGCUAAAGACUUGGACUGUUUGUCAAAGUUCUCUUCAAAGAAAUCAUAUAACUCACAAUGAAAGUUUAUAUAUAUAUAUAUAUAUAUAAUAUAAGNNNNNNNNNNNNNNNNNNNNNNNNNNNNNNNNNNNNNNNNNNNNNNNNNNNNNNNNNNNNNNNNNNNNNNNNNNNNNNNNNNNNNNNNNNNNNNNNNNNNAAAUUGGUAUCUCGUUAAACGCGCGUUGUCUUGCUUUUCAAAAAUACAAGUUCAAUUUAAUAGUUAAUCGCGAUCCGAUCAAAAUACAAAUUUUUUUUAAACACGAAGAUUUUUGAAACAAUUUUUUGAAAAUACGAUUUUUUUUAAAAACACGAGAAUUUUAGAGACACGAAAAUUCUUAAAAACACGAAUAUUUUUGAAAACACGACAAAUUUUUGAAAACAAUAUUUUUUUGAAACGCGAAAAUUUUUGAAACACGAGAAUUUUUUAGAAAACAGGAAAAAAAUAAUUUUUUUUGAUCAUCGGAAUUUUUGAGAACACGAAAAUUUUUGAAACACCGGGAUUUUUGAAAACACGAGGAUUUUUGAAACACGAAAAUUUUAAAAACACGAAAAUUUUUAAACAGGGGAAUUUUUUCGAAAACACGAAAUUUUUUGAAUAUUUACAAUUUUUAAAAGGACGUAUCGUAUUUAACAUAAACCGGUGAUAUUCACCCAACAUAGCGAUGAAAUCAUCGAUUUAAUGUUAAAUCGAUUCGUUGCCUUAUUUAUUAAAAUUAAAUUAAAUUAAAUUAAAAACAUAAAUACAAAAAAUAUAAAAGUGCAUAAAAAUACCAAUAAUAUUAAAACGAAAUGACAUAAAAAUACAUGCAUUAAAUUAAAAAUGAAAUAAAUAAAAUUACCGAAAAUGUCUGAAAUACGAGCUUCGCCGAACGGGUUACACAAAUUAAAACCCGUUUUUUCUUUUUUUCUUCUUUUAUCUUCCUUUUUCCUCUCUUUUUCUUUUUUUUUCUGGACUGGGCUGGCCUGUUGGGCUGCUGCUAGGCCUGGGGGCUGCUGCUGCACUGGGCCUGGGGGCCUGCUGCUGCGCUGGGCCUGCAUUUGGGCUGCUUCUUUCUUUUUCUUUUUUUCUGCUUCUUUCUUUCUUUCUUUUUUCUGCUGCUUCUUUUUCUGUUUUGGUUUUUUUUUUUGGGCUGGCCUGCUACUGCUGUUGGGUUGUUGGGUGCUGUGGGUCGGGUCAAUUUUGCGGGUCGGGUCGGCCCGAUUUAAAAUAAUUUUUUUCUUUUUUUCUUUUUUUCUUCUUUCUUCUUCCUCUUUUUUUCUUCUUUCUUUCUUCUUCUUUCUUUCUCUUUUUCUUCCUUUCUUUCUUCCCCGAUCAGGCCCCCCUUCGGGUUGCUUUCGUCGACGGCGACCUACUUCCCACCGACGGCCGACGGUGGCGCUCACGGUGGUCUUCCCUUUCCCCUUUUUUCUCUUUUUCUUUCUUUUUUUUUUCUUUUUGCUUGCUUUGCUUUUUUUUCUUUUUUUCUUGCCUCUUGGUUGUCUUGCUAGGUAUCGGGGCGGCGCGAGUGCGGUGGCGGAUGCGGUGGCGCGGACACGACGGCGGUGGUGCCCCUUUUUGCUGUUGUUUUUGCUCUCCUUUUUUUUUUGCUCAAAAUUUGUUUUUUUUUUUCCUUUGCUUCCUUGCUUCCCCCUUUUUCUUCCUUGCUUUGGGGGUUUUAAAACCCAUUUUAUUUUGAUGUUCUCUUCUUUUUUUGCAGGUUGCAGGUGGGCUAGGGAGGGCUUAGGUCGGCCGCCGCGCGUUGCAGGUGCAACUUGUGUCAGUGGCAGCCAGAGGGACCAAAAUGUAGUGGCAGCAAAACUUUUGGGGCCGAAACAUAAUUUUGAGAAAGUUCAAGGGUCCAAAUGUAAUUUUAAGAAAGUUUAAGGGUCAAAAUGUAAUUUAGAAAAGUUUAGGGGUUGAACUGUAAUUUUGAGAAAGUUUAGGGGUUAAAAUGCAAUUUUAAAAAAGUUUAGGGGUCAAAAUGCAAAAAAAUUAAAAAAUUUAAUUUUAAUUUUUUUUAACGAAAGUUAUUCCCGGACAAAAUUCAGUGAUUACAGCUGCCCCUCUUUGCUCAUCGCUGUGAAACAGGGAUAGAGCAAAGACUUAAAAGCACUGAAUUUUGUUCGAUCAUCCAAAAUUUUUCUUUUUAUUUGAAAAGCAGAAAUCGAGAAUAGCUCAGCGUGAAACCCGAGGCCCAACUCACCUCUAGCAAUAUGAGUUGAUUUUUUUGAAAAGCAAGAAUUGAAAAAUACCUCGACGUGACUCGAGGCUCAACUCACCUCUCGCAAUAUGAGUUGAUUUUGGAAAAAUAGAAAUUGAAAAACACCUCGACGUGACUCGAGGCUCAACUCACCUCUGGCAAUAUAAGUUGAUUUUUGAAAAACAGAAAUUUAAAAUACCUCAGCGAGAGACCCGAGGCUCAACUCACCUCUCGUAAUAUGAGUUGAUUUUUUGAAAAAAUAGAAAUUAAAAAAAAUACCUCAGCGUGACUCGAGGCUCAACUCACCUCUGUAUUAUGAGUUGAUUUUUUGAAAAAAGCAGAAAUUAAAAAAAUACCUCAGCGUGACCCGAGGCUCAACUCACCUCUGUAUUAUGAGUUGAUUUUUUGAAAAAGCAGAAAUUUAAAAAAUACCUCAGCGUGACCCGAGGCUCAACUCACCUCUGUAUUAUGAGUUGAUUUUUUGAAAAAAGCAGAAAUUAAAAAAAAUACCUCAGCGUGACCCAAGGCUCAACUCACCUCUGUAUUAUGAGUUGAUUUUUUGAAAAAAGCAGAAAUUUAAAAAAUAACUCAGCGUAACCCGAGGCUCAACUCACCUUUGUAUUAUGAGUUGAUUUUUUGAAAAAAGCAGAAAUUAAAAAAAAUACCUCAGCGUGACCCGAGGCUCAACUCACCUCUGUAUUAUGAGUUGAUUUUUUGAAAAAAAAAUAGAAUUUUAAAAAAUAUUUCUUGAAAGAAACAGGGUUUCAAAAAACAUCUGGUAAAGCUAAAAGCCUUCUUCUUCAUUGAUUCUGUGCAGUUUUCUCCCAGUAUUCCUUGCUCUACUGGUAUACCUGUAUAUGUUAUUUAUGAUGUUAUUAUGAUAUGCACAUGUUUGUCCUAAAUGCUUUUGUGUCUACAUGAUCAUGCAAUGCACCCUGGGCUAUUUGUCACGUGCCCCACUUUUGAUUUUUGUGAGGGUCCGCAUUUAUUUCCUCAAUUCUUGACUUUUCUCUCCAGUUUUGUACUCAUCCUCAAGUUUGGUGAGUAACCCACAUUUCUUCGUAUAUCACCCUCUUGCCCCCUGUUGAACUUUUUCUUGCUUUAGGGUCCUUGUAUUUAUCAAGUUCUCAUCCAGGUAAUGCUCAACAUUCCCUUUGUUUAGAGUAUGUCAUCUUACUAUUUAUCAUUUAAAUGAAUCAAACACGAGAUGCAUACAAAAGACAAAGUAGGCAUGAAAGAAAUACCUCACAUUCAUUUUUUUAAAAGCAACAAUCGAAGGAAAUUGAUAAGGAAAGUUUAACAAAUAAAUUGUCAUAAAGAAAAGAAAGCGAGUUCAAUGGCCAGAAAUGCUCUAGAUAUCCAAUGCAUGAACUUUCCAAGUUUCUUCAUCCUGGAUCUUUUCGAGCACGGCUUCUUGUGUAGAAGAUUUUGAGCUUCUGAGAAUGCUUCAAAUAUUGUAACCUCGCCAUUCGACUCUCCGUUCAAGCCAAUUGGCUUCUUCAAGCCCGAGCCCACUUUAUUAGGACGCCCUUUUGGGUUUUCAUCCUAAUCCUUUUGUUUAUCAAGACGCCCUUUUCGGGUUUUCAUCUUGAUUUUUCUUUUUUUGUUUUGUUUUUGUUUUGUUCCUUUGUUUUGUUAUUUUUUUGUUUUUUUUUUGUCUCUCUUUUUUUUAGGCAUAAUAUUUCUUCACAGAAUCUGAGUUCACUGGAUUAGGUAAUUCUUUCCCGUCCAUCUCAGUGAAAAUCAGAGCCCCUCCUGAGAAUGCCCUUUUUACAACGUAUGGCCCUUCCCAAUUUGGUGACCAUUUUCCUCGAAAGUCCUUCUGAAUCGAGAGAAUCUUUCUCAGUAUGAGCUCUCAUUCGCAAAAUUCUCUUGGCCGCACCUUUUUAUCAUGGGCCGUAAUCAUUCUCUUCUGGUACAUAUGUCCAUGACAAAUUGCCUUCAAGCGUUUCCCUUUAAUAAGGUUUAGCUGAUCAUAUCGAGCUCGAACCCACUCUGAUUCCUCUAACCUUGUCUCCAUCAAGACGCGCAGGGAUGGGAUCUCUACUUCGAUAGGCAAAACGGCUUUCAUUCCAUAGACCAGAGAAAAAGGAGUUGCCCCUGUAGACAUCCGUACAGAGGUGCGAUAUACGUACAAAGCGAAUGGUAGCUUCUCGUGCCAGUCUUUAUAUGUCUCAGUCAUCUUCCCGAGAAUCCUCUUAAUGUUCUUAUUAGCCGUUUUUACUGCUUCGUUCAUCUUUGGGCGAUAGGGCGAAGAAUUAUGAUGCUUUAUCUGAAAUUGCUCACAUACUUCUUUCAUCAUCUUGUUGUUCAAAUUUAAAGCAUUAUCUGAAAUGAUUCUUUCAGGCAGACCAUAUCGACAUAUGAUCUCAUUUUUUAAGAACCUACAGACCGCAGCCUUUGUCACAUUAGCAAAUGAAGUGGCUUCUACCCAUUUUGUGAUGUAGUCUAUAACCACAAAGAUGAAUCGAUGUCCAUUGGAAGCUUUCGGGGAAAUUGGCCAUAUAACAUCCAUGCCCCACAUAGAAAAAGGCCACGGAGAAGUAAUGACAUGAAGGGGCGAUGGAGCUGCAUGAAUUUUAUCACCAUAAAUUUGACAUUUGUGGCACUUUCGUGUUUAGCCAAUGCAAUCGCUUUCCAUCGUCAGUCAGUAAUAACCAAGUCUCAUAAUCUGCCUGGCCAUAGUGAAACCACUGGCAUGCAUUCCAAAAAUUUCUUCAUGAACCUCUUCAAGUAUCUUUCUAGCUUCAACAGCGUCCACGCACCUAAUGAGCACUUGAUCUUUUCCUUUUUUGUAUAGAAUAUCCCCAUCAAGAAUAAAUCCAACCGUUAUUAUUCUGAUUGUUCUGUUGUCAUUCUCGUUUGCCUGCUCGGGGUACCUUUGAUUCUUGAUAUACUCCAAGAUAUCAUGGAACCAUGGUCGUCCAUCUGACUCCUCCUCAAUACUAAAACAGUGUUCGAGGGUCUCAUAUAUACUCAUUUGGAUGGGCAUUAUCUCAGUUUCUCUGUUUGCUUUGAACAUCGAAGCCAAGGUGGCUAGGGCAUCAGCCAAUUGGUUCUCCUCUCGUGGAAAGUAGUUAAAAGUCACUUCUUUGAAUUCUUUGACCAAUUUCGCAACAAGAUCGUGGUACUUGACUAAUUUUGGAUCUCUCACUUCCCAAUCCCCACGAAUUUGAUAAAUGACUAAUGCUGAGUCCCCGUGCACUUCUAAGAUUUUGAUUUUCCUCUCGAUAGCUGCACGAAGCCCUAUGAUGCAAGCUUCAUAUUCCGCUAUAUUAUUGGUACAGAAGAAGUUCAAUCUGGCAGUGAGCGGGUAAUGAUCUCCCUCCGGCGAUACUAAGACUGCUCCAAUCCCAUGCCCCAAUACAUUUGAUGCACCAUCAAAGCUCAUUUUCCAUGAUUUCUCUCUUGAUGACUCACCCUCUUUUUCUGAAAUGCAAAUCAAGUCUUCAUCUGGGAAAUCAAAUCUCAAAGGCUCGUAUUCUUCCGCUGUUCGACUUGCCAAGAAGUCAGCUAUCGCACUUCCCUUUAUCGAUUUUUGGCUCAUAUACACGAUGUCAUACUCAGUCAGUAAGAUCUGCCAUCGUGCUAUUCUUCCUGAGAGUGCAGGUGACUCCAUCAUGUACUUUAUUGGAUCCAGUUUUGAAAUUAACCACGUCGUAUGAUAUAACAUGUAUUGUCUGAGCCUUCGAACCGUUCAAAUCAAUGCGCGACAAAACUUCUCAAUUGAAGGGUACUUUACCUCAUAUUCUGUGAACAUUUUGUUGAGGUAGUAAAUCACUUUUUCUCUUUUCCCCGACUCAUCAUGUUGUCCCAGUACGCAACCCAUUGAAUUCUCAAACACGGUCUGGUACAAUAUUAAGGGUUUUCCAGGGGUUGGCGGUACUAGUACCGGAGGAUUAGAUAGAUACUGUUUUAUCUUGUCGAAAGCCACUUGACAUUCCUCGUUCCAUUCUCCCGGAUUAUGUUUUUGAAGAAGUCAAAAAAUUGGAUCACACUGAUUGGUAAGUUGGGCAACGAAUCGAGCAAUGUAAUUCAACCUUCCUAAAAAUCCUCUGACUUCCUUUUGUGUACGCGGAGGUGGCAGUUCUUGUAUAGCUUUCAUAUUAUCUUGAUCAACUUCGAUACCUCUCUCACUGACAAUAAAACCUGACAGUUUUCCCGAGGUAGCCCCAAACGUACAUUUGGCUGGGUUAAGUUUCAACUGGAACUUUAUUAACCUUUCGAACAGCUUCUUGAGAUUCCCAACAUGCUCUUUUUCUCCCCGGGACUUGACAAUCAUAUCAUCGACGUAAACUUCUAUUUCUUUGUGCAUCAUAUCAUGAAAUAACGUCACCAUGGCUCUCUGAUAUGUUGCCCCAUCAUUCUUUAAUCCGAACGGCAUUACCUUGCAGCAAAAGGUCCCCCACAAUGUUAUGAAUGUAGUUUUCUCCAUGUCCUCGGGAGCCAUCUUUAUCUGAUUAUAACCUGAGAAGCCAUCCAUGAAAGAAAACAGAGAAUGUUUUGCCGUAUUAUCCACCAAAGUGUCGAUGUGUGGUAAAUGAAAGUUAUCCUUAGGGCUUGCUUGAUUCAGAUCACGAUAAUCCACGCACAUUCGCAACUUGCCAUCUUUCUUCGGCACUGGGACUAUAUUAGCUACCCAUUUUGGAUAUUUAGAGACUUGUAGGAAGCCAGCAUCAAUUUGUUUCUUGACUUCUUCUUUUAUCUUUAACAGCAUUUCGGGUCUCAUCCUUCUUAAUUUCUGCCGAACGGGCUUGCAUUCUGGUUUCAGUGGGAGCUUAUGAACCACUACAUCCUCAUUCAACCCUGGCAUGUCCUGAUACGACCAGGCGAAUACAUCUUUGUACUCACGGAGCAAGGCGAUCAAAUUCUGUUUGGUGUUAUCUGAAAUGGAAAUAUCAAUAUUCACUUCUUGUUUCUUUUCUUCACUUCCCAAGUUCACUGUCUCAACAGAUUCUUGAUGGGGUAGAAUCUGUUUCUUUUCUUGUUCAACCAUUCUCAAUAAGUCAGGAGGCAAGACACAAUUUUUAGCAUCUUCCUCGGCUUCAAAUUCUUCUAAACAAACAGCCUUCUCAAAAUCGAUUUCAGGACUUGUAACGGGAUUGUUCAUGCCAUGGAUAUCUGAGCACUUGAAAGGCGGAUAGAAAAGACUGCUAUAAGAGAGCAUCAAAGUAUUGGAAUCAACAAACACAAUGUUAUGGAAUGAGAUAUAUGGAGAGAAAGGAUAUGAAGCGAUGAGGGUAAUUAUGAAACUGAUAGAAAUAAAAAGAUCAUGACAAAAUGCAUCUUCAUUAAUGUUCAUUGAAAUGAUAAAGAGCAAACACAAGCUCUUACAAAAGGAAUCCCACUAUUUAGGGGCACACAAAAUAAAUGGAGAAGUAACAUUGGGCAUUACUCUGGAGAGGACUUAGAAACUACAAGAAGGUCCACAGCAGUCCAAUUGUUCAAAACAUAUCUUGGAAGACAGGGGUGUAUCAUUGAAACAUCCUCAAUUGUAUCACUCUCAUUGAAUUCAACAUUCAUAGCCCUAGCCCUUAAAUGUGUUCUAUAAGAAUGACGUGAUUCCAGACUUGUAGUAUCACAACUGUGGAUUUUGCGGUUCUGGCCUUAGUGAAUGAUUAGGGUGAUAUGUACAUGCAAUGAAUGAAUGAAUGAAUGACCAAUGGAUGCUAGUCAUGCGUAAAUAUGCAAAAAAAAUGGUGUUGAUUUCAAGAUAGCCCCAUAUUUUGGCAUUUCAUUUAUCAAAAGAGUCAAUUACAAAAUAUUUUGCCAACGAAGAUGACCCUAGUUCUUGAGUUUCACUGUUUCCAAAUCCUAGUCAAAUCUUCAGGGUUAUUCUGACGAGCAUUCGAAGUCGUCUUCUCGGAAAGAUCAGAGAUAUAUCUUUCCUUUAAAUUGUCCCUUUUACUUUCUCGGCCCUCAAAGACCAGUCUCUGACUACGACAUUUUUCUUGAUUACCUGUGUAAUUUGACUCCUUCAUCAGAAACCCGUUUUUGGCAACCAAUCUCUAAUCAACACCUUCCUAAUGAGAUAUCUACGAUGCAUGAUGAAAAAUAAAAUGAAGAACAAAUAACAUUGGUUAGAGAUCACAACAGAUAUAAACAGAAGGAAAAUAAAAAAUAAAUACUAUGGAAAAUUUAACAAAUUAAGCUAGUCAAUCAGCAAUUUGGUGGAACAGACCCACAUUUUUUUUUGCCCCAACAUGCUUUACAAAAACCUACCCCACAUACCAUCAGACAAUCUACCCGACCCAAUUUAUUAAAUAGACCCAAUUCAUUUGCAAAUAAGUGUAAAUGUAAAAGAAAUAAAAGGUAAGAGGCGUUUCUCCCGUGUACUUAUUUUGGUAACUAUCAAACGGACAGAGGUUCGGCAUGGCUCUAAUUGGGUGGCUCGUACGGUUCNNNNNNNNNNNNNNNNNNNNNNNNNNNNNNNNNNNNNNNNNNNNNNNNNNNNNNNNNNNNNNNNNNNNNNNNNNNNNNNNNNNNNNNNNNNNNNNNNNNNUCUUCUAAAGAAAUACAUAUAACUACACAAUAGAAGUUAAUAUAUAUAUAUAUAUAUAUAUAUAAGCAUAGUCAGGCCAACCAAUGUAGAAAAAAACUAACAUGAUAUCAUCUUUUCUUAUUGCCCAGUAUUUAUUUAGCAAAUAUUGACUGUAACAUUGUCAUGAUUAUUUUUGGACAAGAACAAGGUCAUUUCCACACAGGUAGAAGUGCAGUCCAUGCUCAUAGCUUACAGAAAAAAAAAAUAUUUCAGUAAAGAUUAUGUAGCGACCUAAAAAUUUGGGGUGAGCGCUAAUCGAAAUGAUUGUUGAAAAUUUGAAGACGGUGUUUCGAUUUUAUUUGAAAAAGGAGUCGCCACCGAUCUUUUUUCCUAGGUGUGAUCGGACACCUAAUAAAUUCUCUUUUAGAAGAAGAAUUUAUUUUUUUAAUUUUUCUAAAAAAGAGGUAAUUUUAGGUCUACGUGAAAAUCCAGAGAAAAUUAGGGUUCGGGAGUCGGUUACACGCGAGGAAGGUAUUAGCACCCUCGCGACGCCCAAAAUUGGUAUCUCGUUAAACGCGCGUUGUCUUGCUUUUCAAAAAUACAAGUUCAAUUUAAUAGUUAAUCGCGAUCCGAUCAAAAUACAAAUUUUUUUUAAACACGAAGAUUUUUGAAACAAUUUUUUGAAAAUACGAUUUUUUUAAAACACGAGAAUUUUAGAGACACGAAAAUUCUUAAAAACACGAAUAUUUUUGAAAACACGACAAAUUUUUGAAAACAAUAUUUUUUUUGAAAACGUCGAAAAAUUUUUUGAAAACACGUAGAACUUUUUUUAGAAAAACUAGGUAAAAAAAACUAAAUUUUUUUUUAGAAUUCAAUUUUUGAGNNNNNNNNNNNNNNNNNNNNNNNNNNNNNNNNNNNNNNNNNNNNNNNNNNNNNNNNNNNNNNNNNNNNNNNNNNNNNNNNNNNNNNNNNNNNNNNNNNNNNNNNNNNNNNNNNNNNUUUGAAUAUUUACAAUUUUUAAAAGGACGUAUCGUAUUUAACAUAAACCGGUGAUAUUCACCCAAUAUAGCGAUGAAAUCAUCGAUUUAAUGUUAAAUCGAUUCGUUGCCUUAUUUAUUAAAAUUAAAUUAAAUUAAAUUAAAAACAUAAAUACAAAAAAUAUAAAAGUGCAUAAAAAUACCAAUAAUAUUAAAACGAAAUGACAUAAAAAUACAUGCAUUAAAUUAAAAAUGAAAUAAAUAAAAUUACCGAAAAUGUCUGAAAUACGAGCUUCGCCGAACGGGUUACACAAAUUAAAACCCGUUUUUUCUUUUUUUCUUCUUUUAUCUUCUUUUUUCCUCUCUUUUUCUUUUUUUUUUCUUGACUGGGCUGGCCUGUUGGGCUGCUGCUAGGCCUGGGGGCUGCUGCUGCACUGGGCCUGGGGGCCUGCUGGGCCUGCUGCUGCGCUGGGCCUGCAUUUGGGCUGCUUCUUUCUUCUUCUUUUUUCUGCUUCUUUCUUUCUUUCUUUUUUCUGCUGCUUCUUUUUCUGUUUUGGUUUUUUUUUUUUGGGGCUGGCCUGCUACUGCUGUUGGGUUGUUGGGUGCUGUGGGUCGAGUCAAUUUUGCGGGUCGGGUCGGCCCGAUUUAAAAUAAUUUUUUUUUUCUUUUUUUCUUCUUUCUUCUUCCUCUUUUCUUCUUUCUUUCUUCUUCUUUCUUUCUCUUUUUCUUCCUUUCUUUCUUCCCCGAUCAGGCCCCCCUUCGGGUUGCUUUCGUCGACGGCGACCUACUUCCCACCGACGGCCGACGGUGGCGCUCACGGUGGUCUUCCCUUUCCCCUUUUUUCUCUUUUUCUUUCUUUUUUUUUUCUUUUUGCUUGCUUUGCUUUUUUUUCUUUUUUUCUUGCCUCUUGGUUGUCUUGCUAGGUAUCGGGGCGGCGCGAGUGCGGUGGCGGAUGCGGUGGCGCGGGCACGACGGCGGUGGUGCCCCUUUUUGCUGUUGUUUUUGCUCUCCUUUUUUUUUGCUCAAAAUUUGUUUUUUUUUUUUUUCCUUUGCUUCCUUGCUUCCCCCCUUUUCUUCCUUGCUUUGGGGGUUUUAAAACCCAUUUUAUUUUGAUGUUCUCUUCUUUUUUUGCAGGUUGCAGGUGGGCUAGGGAGGGCUUAGGUCGGCCGCCGCGCGUUGCAGGUGCAACUUGUGUCAGUGGCAGCCAGAGGGACCAAAAUGUAGUGGCAGCAAAACUUUUGGGGCCGAAACGUAAUUUUGAGAAAGUUCAAGGGUCCAAAUGUAAUGUUAAGAAAGUUUAGGGGUCAAAAUGUAAUUUAGAAAAGUUUAGGGGUUGAACUGUAAUUUUGAGAAAUUUUAGGGGUUAAAAUACAAUUUUAGAAAAGUUUAGGGGUCAAAAUGCAAAAAAAAUUAAAAAAUUUUUAAUUUUAAUUUUUUUUUAACGAAAGUUAUUCCCGGAUAAAAUUCAGUGAUUACAGAUUAAAUAGUUGUAUAUGAUAUUGAUAUCAUAGAUAGAUGAAUCGAUUUAAUUUAAGUCGGUUCAACUUAUAAAUACCUUAAUUUUAUAUAAUAUAUAUGUGUAUUUAUAUUAUUAUUUAAGUUCUUGAUUGGGUUAGCGUCACUCUCAACCGGGUCACCAAAUUUACUAGGAAAAUUAUUGAAAUGUUCUUUCGUAAUUAAAAUAAGUUGUAUUAUUCGAAGGUAUUUUUGCCUUUUUAUUUUUAAAAAGUAAAUAAAAAUAUGUGUAUGGUGGUAUUUGAAUCCAAACUAAUUGGGUUAGAAAAAUAUUUAAUUUAUCACUCAACUAAAACCUUUUAUUUUGAUAUUUUUAUAUAUUUUUUAUUUUAUUAUACACACUUUAUUUUAAUACCGUACAUAUUUCAUGUGUUAUUAUGCUUAAUUAGUUUCAAAUCAUGUGUUUCAUUAUUUAUUAUUUGUUAUUUUUAAACACAUAUUUGUACUCUAAUAUUUAUAAAAUAACAUAAUCCUCGAAAAGGAAACAUGCACUUCUAGGUAAGUUAAGUUUUUACCAAAUGACACAUGUUGAUAAUUGACACUUUAGGUGGUUAUUGAUGGCCUUGUAAAGUCUUUCGAUCUUAACAUUAUACAAACCAAAACCUUAGUAUUGCACAAACAAUUAUUUUAGUAUCUUUAGAAUAAUAUGAUUAUCAUAAGUUUAAAAAUAUCUGAUGCGGAAUUGAAAUUGGUCAUUAGAUUUUAUGAAGAAGAACACCCGAUAAAUUGAUUUCUCCCUCUUAACCUUUUUCCCUUAACUACACAAAUAAGGAAAAAAAAUUUAUGUGUUUUGUGUGCAACUCUAAUAAGUAAAGUGGGAUUAAUUUAUAAUGAUAAACUUUUAAUCUGAUCAAGUAACCCAACGAAAUGAUAAAAUUUAAUUUCUAUUAAAGUAAAACUUUUAGGCCCCAUGAUUUUAGAGUUAUUGGGUCCACAUAAUUGGGAUAAAAAUCUUACAUUCUCUCACUUGGCCUAAUGAGAUAAAACAUAAACUUUAAUAGAACAAUUGUUGAGUGCGCAUAAAAAUAAUAUAAAAUUUGUCAUUAAAAUUUGAUUAGGUUGACCUCAUAUAAUGUGGCAGAUGAUUAAUAGAAAAUAAACAUGUUAAAUUGACAAAUUUUGAUAGAAACUGCCAACGAUAAUAAUAACCAAAUUAGAAUUUUUAAAUUGAAAAGGGAGGACUGAAAUUUUAACUUUUAAAGUACAAGAACCCAAUCUCAAAUUAAUUACAAGUACAGGGACUAAUAACACAUGUUAGCUUCUUCUUCUUUUUUAGGUAACAAAAAUAAUCAAUAUAUGACCAACAUGCGGUAGAAAUUUAUUUUAUUUUAUUUUAAAUAUUAAAUUACUUUUAGUUUAAUUAAAAUUUUUAAUUUUUUUUAAUUUAACAAUUGAACCGAGUGAUAAAAUACUUGCAAAUAAAUAUUCUGUGGGCAAAGAUUUAAUCAUUAAAUAUUACAUUUUUAAUUAUUUCAUUUAAGUACGUCGCAUAAAAAUAGUAAAAAGCGAAAGUAUUAAUAUUAUAAUUUUGAGACACCUUACAUGCGAUUCAAUUGUCUAAUCCAAAUGCGCGACUUCACAUUAUGUUGUCAGGGUAACUCAAACUAACUUGAUAUCAUUUUACUAAGUAACAUACAUUCAAACAAAUAAAUCACGUAUAAUUUCAAUUAAAUCAUGUGUACAUGUUUAAUGAAUGUCAAUUGAUCUAGUUUAAAGUAUUUAGGAGUUGUAUAGGAUCAAAUAUAGAGUUGGGAUUCGAAUCCAAACUCAUUUAUCCAAAUUUUAUAGGGGGUUUCGAGACAUGACAUUCAUGUCUCGAGACACUAAUAUAAUAUGGUCUAAAAUGAACAUUUAAAUGCAUUCAAUCACAAAUCAAUUCGUACCUAACUUAAACAAACUUUACACAAUUUCAUAUGCAUCAAUUUAACAAACAAAUAUAUAACCAAAUAUCCAAACAAUUUAACAUCAAGUCACCUCAACCUAAUGUAGUUAAAUAAAUGGCUUAAUACUUAAAACCAUGCAAACUCAUUCAUUACUCAAGCAUUAAAACUCAACAAAAGAAACCUUAUAGGUCCAUAGCUAACCAAAGCAUACCAUAUUGACCAAAACAAUAUUUAACUCGAGCUGAAUUACUGACCUUAAAUGCUUUACAAUUUUGAUCUACUAAAAACCUGUUUGAGAUCUGCGCAUAAAAACAAACACAACUAUACGUUGAGUAUUAAAUACUUAAUGGUGCUAACAUAAUCUGAAUUCAAAUAUAAAACAUUAAGCAAUUUAAUAUACUAAAUAAACAUUUUAUUUAAUAGAUUCAAUAUCAUAAUACUAAGGGCCAGUUCUUCAUUGCUUAACAAAAGCACUUCUGACUCCAAAAGUACUUUUGAAAGAAAAACUGUGAAGAACAAGCUGCUUUUGGCUGAAAUUUUUAGCUUUUUUCUGAAAAGGAGCUGAAAAUGAGAAGCUAAAAAUUUUAGCUUUUACUCUCCCAAAAGCACUUUUUGUGCUUAAUUACUUUUUCACCCCUCCAAUAACAUAGUAUUUUCCUUUUUUUUCUUGGUGCUUAAUUACAAAUGUGUUAAAAUUAUUAAUUAAAAAUAAAAAAUAUUUCUUAAAAUACUAAUUACAAAUAUUUAAUGGUUAUAUUUAAAUAUUUAAAAUAUAGUUUAUAUAUUCUAAUUAAAUUUUAUAAAUAAUUAAUAUUUAUUGCUUAAAAAUAUUUAAAAUUUAUAUUUCAUAUAUUAAAAUAUUAACAAUAAGCUAUAAUAAUUUUUUUAUAUUCUUACUAAAAUAUAAUAAUAUUAACUAAUUUAAAUAUUAUUUAAAUGCAUAUUUGUUACUUGAUAAUAACAUGUCUAAAAUGGACAUUUUAUUUCUCAAAAGCACUUUUUGACAGUAAUACUAAACACUCAAAUUUUAAGCCAAACUUUUCAAAAGCACUCCUCAAAAGCACUUUUCCACAGCACUUUUUAAAAGCAAUGAAGAACUAGCCCUAAGAUGGCAUUCUAGUAUUUCAUUACCCAAUUUCAUAUCGAGCAACAAUCAUCCCGUAACUUUAUACCAUUUCAUUUAUUCACCCUCAGGGUAUUUAAGUGACAUUUACCUAUGCAAUCAAUUUUCUCCUCGUGAGGCAAGUUCCAAUGUCACGAUACCCAAAACAAUAUUGAAAUUGAGAGUCUUGGAGGUCUCGGUGUCAUGAUACCCAUCUUUGGUAUCGCUAUAUCACUGGAGUUGACCUUAAGUUUUUUCACUUCAGCAUUGUUAGGGGUAUUACAACUUUCAUGACCUCAAUGUCGUGAUACCCCGUUCUAAAUGAUAAUUUCCUCGAGUUUGGGCCAUUAUCAACUUCCUACACCAACUCAAUCAUAUCACUAGGUCCCCCAUGGCGCCAUUUGGGUCUUAAUAUGGCAUAAAACUAAUAAAAAUUAUUAAUUAAUAACAAAAACUAAAAAUCGACAAAAGUAAAGAAAAUACACUUAUAUUGCUUGAGAAUAAGCUCCUCGAGUGUAAUGGAAAGCCUAAUUUGACAUAUCAAAUUACGUCAGAUCACUUGUUCAGCACAGGUUCAAACCGUGUUACCCCCUUCCUCUACCCCUAAUAUUGUAUAAAAAAACUAAUUGCUAAUCUUCUAAUGUAGUCUCUGUACUAUAGUACUUAAUAGUUUAUAUAAUUUAAUUACUAAAUAAUUUUAUUUCUAAUUUAUCUUUUAUUUUUUUAAUCUCACACUCGCUUUGUAAUUGCUCGAUCAAAAUUUUGAACAACUCGAUUUAAUAAAUUUGAUCCCACAAUUAACUUUUCCGACAUUGAAAAAAAUCGAAUCAAUACAAUAUUAUAAAAAAAAAUUUUAAGUAUAGGUGUAGUUAGGAGUCCAUGUUUUUUUAUAUUAAUCUAGUUUGAAGAAAAAAUCAAAUAAUAAAAAGUAGCAAAUUUUAAAAAUUUAUUUUCCUAUAAAAAAAGUUGUUAAAUUAAAUUAUUAUCUUGAAUGAUGUUUUGGUAUAAAUUAUGCAUGGGUUCUUUUUAAAUCUAUUUUGAUUUAAAUUUCGUUGUGUGUGGACCAUAUUGAUUUAUAAUAUGUUUGGUUUGUGUUUUGUUUUUUUUUAAAAUAAAUUUGGGCUAAACUGGUGAACGAAAUAUAUCUUUAGAUGCUAAAUAGAAAUUAAAAAUUUAAAUAACCAAAACAAAUAUAUAUAUAUAUAUAUAUAUAUAUAUAAAAAUUCAAGAGCUCAAACAUGAAUAAAGGCUAAUAAAUUUUGUGAUAAUUUUCUCUCACCUAUAGGCAAAUAAUUUCAAAAAAUAAAUUAUUUGAUAUAUUAUUAAUAAAUUUUAAAAUUUUUAUUUAUGAAUUUAAUAAAAUGUUAUAAUUUUUACUAAAAUGAAAUAUAUUAAAAUAAUGUAACAAAAUUCAUAUUUUGAUUUAUUUGUGAAAAUUAAAAAUCUCAUCAAGUUUAUAUAAAAAUGUACUUUUUAUUUUAAAUAAACGAUAGAAUCAUUUGGUUGCACCGAAGUGCCUAUGUGUUGGGUCGGAUAGCACACAAAAUUUUCCUAAAGCUCUUGCCUAAGCAUUAUUUAGGAUGAUGGGCUUUGAUUGAUCUGUUAGCCCAAAAGGUUAUAUUAAUAUAUAUUUUAUAAUUAAAUUUAAAUAUAUUUUUUUAUUUUUAAAUGUGCUUCAGCACACUGAAAUUCACAAUAAUAACAAACGUUAAUUAAAUUAAUUAUUUAAAUACUAACUUUUUAUAAAUAAUGAUUUCGAUUUACAUGUUGAUCUAAGUCAUGCAAAAUGUCUAACGUACCAAUUUAUAUAACCAAAGAAAAUACUUUAAUUUGUAGUGUAAGCUACACCAUUAGUCAAUAAAUUAUUAAUACAUUUUUAUUUUGGUCAUUGAACUACUUAAAAGUUCUCAUUUAAGUCAUUAGACUGUUAAAAUCGAUGCUACAUGGUUUUCUCAAUUCGCAUUGCUUGCGCUAAUCGAAAGCUCUCUUUCUCAUUUUCUUCUACAGUUGAGUUUUUUUUUUAUGAAACAAUUUUGGAUGUUACAAAUCUAAAAAACCAAAAUUUAAACAACUUUUCCCUCCGAUCUCUUACAUUGAUCAUCACAUUGAUCUGGAUCUAAAGUAUGUUCUUUUACUCGUCAAUGGAUAUUGAUCCACAUACUGAUCCUCGAAUUGUUGCUUGAAACUCGCUGGUGGAACUUAAAAAAAAAAACUUAAUAACUUAGUGACUUAAAUAAAAACUCUUGAAUAGUUCAGUGACUUAAAUGAAAAUUUUAAAAUAGUUCAAUGACCAAAUUAUAAUUUUUUAGUUAAGUGACCAAAACAAAAAUUUACCCAUAAUUGUGUAUUUUUCACUAAUUUGUAUCACUAAAUUACUUUAAGGGAUAUUGAGGAGUGACAAUACUUGUUACAGAUAGGCAAAGUUUUCAUCAAAAUUUGAAAAAAAACCUAGUGCAAUAGUUAUAUAAACUUUAGGGUAAAUUACAUCAAUUGUCCCUAAUCUUUAAUUAAAAUUAUAUUUUAGUCACGUAACUUUCAAAAGUUACAUAAUUGUCAUUAAAGUUAUCGAAAUGUUACAUUUUAACCACUCAUCAUUUAACUUUCGUUAAGAAGAUGAUGUGGCACAUUAAUUUAACGGGUUAGUCCCUGAACAAUAAUUAAAAUAUCAAAUUGACACUUUUAAAAUUUUUCUUUAUAAUAAUUCUAAAAAAUUUAAAGGGUAAACUACUCCAAUAGUCACUUAAGUUUUAAUGCGUUCCUAUUUUGGUUACCAGAUUUUUUUUUUUGUUAAUUUAGUCAUUUCCAUUAGAUUAAUUGUCAUUUUUAGUCACUCCAUCGUUAAAAUACAUUAGUCAUUGAACGGAAUGUUGAUGUGGCAAUCUUUUGAUUGGUAUAAUAACAAAUUUAGCCCUUAACACUUUACAUAUUCUGUUUACUUGGUCCUAUGUUGAAAAAAUAAACAAAUUUAACUCAAUGUUUACACAUUUUGUCAAUUUAGUCCAAAUUCAAAAAUUUUAUAAUUUUAAAAACUUGAAAAAAUAUAUAUAAUUUAUUAUAAAAAGACAUAAAACUAAAAAAAUAUUAAAAAAAUAUAUAAAAUUACUUGGUUGGGCUUUGAUUGUAGAUGAAACAAUUUAUACUUUUCUUUGGCUGAUGCAAACUUGGUUUAUAGCAAUGGGGGAAUAGGCUCCGCAAGUGAUGCUCACUGAUCAAAACAAUGCCAUAAAAGUAGUUGUAGCUGCUGUGUUUCCUGCUGCACGACGUUGUUUCUGUGUUAUGGCAUGUCUUGGGUGACUAUCUAAGUAAUUUACCCUUUAAAUUUUUUAGAAAAAGAUUAAAAGUAUCAAUUUGAUAUUAUAGUUAUAGUUCAGGGGCUAAAUUAGUUAUUAACCCUUUAAAUUAACAUGUCGCAUCAUUCUCUUAACGAAAGUUGGGUGAUUUUAAUCAAAUGUGCAGUUUAUCUUAUGUAUAAACACCGUAUUAAUAGAGUUUAAUAAAUAUUGUUUUCGUAUAUGUAGAUUAGAUCGCUCAAUAGUUGAAUAGGUUACAUAGAUGAGGAAGUUAGGUUUGUAUAAAAGAAGAUUGAAAUGAUUCAAUCAUUUUUGUGAAAUAAUAUUGAACAAAUAAAAUUUGAACAUUCAUAAUAUUUUCUCAAAAUUACGAACUUCAUCGCAUAAAAAGAAAACACGAGACUAACGACUGUUUCUCGUUUGUUGACCAAUAUUAUCCGGAAGUAGCUUUCAAAUGCUUAAAAAGUAACAGUGUAUUUUACAAUAUUAUCAGGCUACAUGGCCUCACUUUGUAUUCAAUAUAUAUUAUAAAAGAAAGCAAAGAACAAAAAUACAAAAUAAAUAAAGAAACUUACAUAGUGCUUUAACUUAUUACAAAGGGAUUUGUCUCCUUAGUAUGUUUCUACCAUGGGAGAUCGCCACUUUUAUCCCAACUAUCAGGUUAUCAUUACGUUGCCUUGGAGACAUCCUUACUUGACCUAUUGUACUUCAUAUGGCUCCUAACUAGUUGUCCUGCUGAAAUUGCAGACAUGAGCGACAGCUCCCCGGCAAGAACAGCAGACGCUACAAUGGUUGCUAGCGUCCUAGAGUUUGCCCCCGGUGUCUCUUUGCUUGCACCCUUCACUCCAAGUAAGUUCAAACAGGCUGAUUGAGAUGCAAGCUGAGUUCCACCACCAACAGUCCCAACCUAAAAGAUACAGCAACACAGAUAAUUAGGGACUAACAUAAAUAUCCAGAUUUUGUUUUGGCAACGUAAGUCCCUGUGUUGGAUAAUCAGACAGCAACACUAUCAAUUACCUCGAUGGAAGGCAUUGUGACAGAGAUGUGGAGAUCCUUGCCAUCAUUAACAGCUUCCAUCAUCGUGAUGCAAUGCGAGCUCUCGACGUUUUGAGCCGGAUCUUGGCCGGUAGCUAUGUAGAUUGCAGCAACGAUGUUACUGGCGUGAGCGUUAAAUCCACCCAGAGCUCCAGCCAUAGCUGAUCCAGUAAGGUUCUUCAGCAUGUUAAGCUCAACGAGAGAUUCCACACUUGUCUUCAAGACCUUCCUAACCACAUCACCCUUAAUGGUGGCUUCACAGACAACAGAUUUGCCUCGUCCUUCAAUCCAAUUUACCGCAGCCGGUUUUUUGUCGGAACAAUAGUUUCCUAUAUGCACAAAUUCAUAAAUAUCAGUGAUCCUAUGUCGGACAGUAAAAAGACAUAAUUGCAAGCCUAUACAAAAAAAUGAAACUCACCAGAGAUGCCAAUGACAUCCAUGUCAGGGAAAUCAGUUUGAAGGAAAUCCAAAACGUUUUGCACUCCCUUGGAAACCAUGUUCAUCCCCAUAGCAUCACCUGUACUGCAAGUGAAUCUAAUAUACAGAUUCUUUCCAGCAAUUGCACAUUUGAUACCCUGGAGCCUGCCAAAUCUACUUGAUCUGCAACCACCAAAAAGCCAAAAUUUUCAAUAUUAGCUUGAAUUUUAAAUCAAUCAAUAUGGAGUUCUAGAAAUACACAAACAAACCUGUUGAAAACAACAGACAAGGUCUCGAAAUUAUCAGGGUCCUCCAAAUACAACUUCAAAUCAGCUGCCCUUUUCGCAGUACCGAACCUUACACAUGGAGCUCUUGUCAUACCAUCUUUCAAUAGAACACUUGUAGCUCCACCAGACAAAUGAAUAGCCUUACAGCCCCUAUUAGUGCUAGCCACCAAGCACCCUUCCGUGGUUGCCAUAGGAACCGAGUACUCUCUUCCAUUAACCAACAAAGGCCCGGCAAUUCCAACGGGAAUUUGCACGUAGCCAACCGGCAUCUCACAACACUGCCCUAAAAUCGACUCGUAAUCAAACCCAUCCAAGGGCAAUCCAGAUAACGACUUCCCUGUUAAUCUUUGCAACGCUUCCCGCCUGAUUGCAGCCGCCCUCUUGCAAUCACCCAAUUUCGAUUCCAAGGAAUACGAAGGGGUUGUACCAGCCACUACAGAUUUAAUUAUUUCUUCAUCUUCCUCCGUUAGUACCGUCACAGGCUUUUCAUCGAACACCUUCUGAAUGGUCACGAUUGGUGCCGCAGGAGGCAGAGGUGGAAGCGAACAAUCGAGAGCUUGCCCGCAAGGGACCUUACGGGCUUCUUCCUUUGCAAGCAGAACUUCAUCAUCCUCUUCCUCGUCCUCGGCAAUCCAAACGUCAGGCGAUGGUUGGAAAACCAAAGAUUGAACGAAGUCAAUUCCAAAGAAACCCAAAAGGUAAAUAAAGGACGCGAAAAAUGAGAGAAUGGCGAUGAUCUCGGAAAAGGUGACGACAUGGAGAGGUGUGGAGGUACGGAUCUUCUCACGCCAACGGGAAAGAAGAAAAUAAACCACCGAGAAGAAGAGGGUGAAGAACAGGGCGUUCGUUAGGUACAAGGGAAGCGGCAGUGCGUCGGAGGCUUUACCGGUAUCUUCCUCUAAAGGAAUCUUUUUCGUUGGCUUGAGAGAUUGAACAGGUUUAGUAGAAGAUAGCCGGUGAGCCUCCAUUUUGGGUGUCGACGGUGGCGGAAGCCCGAGACGAACGGAAAUGAGAGACAGCCGACGAUUUCAAUUAGUUUUCAGAGAAGGG